Molecule: RNA transcript, 3090 nt
Organism: Hippopotamus amphibius kiboko
Lineage: Eukaryota; Metazoa; Chordata; Mammalia; Artiodactyla; Hippopotamidae
Gene: ARL6IP5
Gene name: ADP ribosylation factor like GTPase 6 interacting protein 5
Exons: 4
Source: RefSeq, a predicted model, not a curated record
ACCCAGCUCAGCUGAUCGGUUGCCGCCACCGCCGCCGCCGCCGCCGCCGGAUUCCAGAAGCAAAGAACAAGAAGCUGGGAAGCGAGACAUGGACGUGAAUAUCGCUCCGCUCCGCGCCUGGGACGAUUUCUUCCCAGGAUCUGACCGCUUUGCCCGGCCGGACUUCAGGGACAUUUCCAAAUGGAACAACCGCGUGGUGAGCAACCUGCUCUAUUAUCAGACCAACUACCUGGUGGUGGCUGCCAUGAUGAUUUCCGUUGUGGGGUUCCUGAGCCCCUUCAACAUGAUCCUUGGAGGCAUCGUGGUGGUGCUGGUGUUCACAGGCUUUGUGUGGGCAGCCCACAAUAAAGACAUCCUCCGCCGGAUGAAGAAGCAGUACCCCACGGCGUUUGUCAUGGUGGUCAUGCUAGCCAGCUACUUCCUCAUAUCGAUGUUCGGGGGAGUCAUGGUCUUUGUGUUUGGCAUCACUUUUCCUUUGCUGUUGAUGUUUAUCCACGCAUCGCUGAGACUCCGGAACCUCAAGAACAAACUGGAGAAUAAAAUGGAGGGAAUCGGUUUGAAGAGGACGCCCAUGGGCAUUGUGCUGGAUGCCCUAGAACAGCAGGAAGAAACCAUCAGCAAGUUCACUGACUUCAUCAGUAAAGGGAAGGAGUAAAUAGAGCUGACCUGGUGAUAGGGUUGCAGCAGAAAUCCAGUUGCAGUUUGCCUUUGUCCAGACCUACUUUCCGUUUGUGUUUUUGAAACAGGAGGUGCAUGAACCGUCCAGCGAGCCACGGCAGCAUGCACGAAGAGGCCAGCGUGUUCCCGUUUCUGCUGUUACAGGGAAAAGGCCUCACACUGAAAGAAACCACCCUCCUAUUAUGUCUGAAGUUUCAAGCGGAAAGAGGACAAUAGUAGCUGAUCUUUUGAAAUCUGAAAAGCAUCUUUACGUGACCAAGCAAAAAGACUUUUAAAAAUGGAAAUGAAAAUGGGAGUGAUCAUCAGCUUCUGCAGUCCAUAAAAAUUUUAGAUAGCACUUGGUACAACUCUAUGUUUUUAUGGCUAGACAUUAGAAUUAAGAGAGCCUGAUUUUAUAUUUUCUGUUACUUUCUUCCUUUUACUUCCCAUGUAUUUAGAACUAGAUGAUACAACGUGUUUUCCUUGCCAAUUGAGUGAUUUCAUAGAUGAAUAGAAAAUAUUGAGGUUUCCCUACCAUGGGGGUUAGGAAGACAGUUGGAACAGUACUUGUUGCAGAGACCCUGUAUGUCCUAGAAUAAGAAGCAAUGCACAUGCCGCUCCUGCUUUUUCUUGCAUUUUAAUUUCUCAGCCGACCUGCAGCCUUCAUCUCUAGCAAAGUGAUAUCACCAUGACUUCACAUAUCUGGCCUAGAAUUUGUACCCAUAGCCAAAUACAAAGAAUAAAAUGUAUCAAAGGUUUUUUUUUUUUUUUUGGUGGGGGGGGGGCUUUAUUUACUGUACAUCUGUGUUAAAUGUCUGAGAAACUCAGUGACAGCCCUAUAAACAAUAAGAAUGUUCUCUAUGCAGCAAAAACCAUUCAGCUUAUGUUUCAAAUACUGUGAAUAAGACUUUAAUGCUUCAUUAAUUUCCAGCCAGAAUAAAACCAAAUACUAAUUGCAUCCUUUUUGAAACCUGACAUUGGGCUUAUACAUAUUUUAGACCCAUUUUCUACAUGGUGAAUUCUGUAGACUAAAUGCAGUAAAUUUGGAGGAAGUGGCAAUGUGAAUGAAAAAAAUAAACUCAUUAUAAUUGCUAACGUUGGUGGUCAAUUCUGGAAGGGUUACAAUAGAAAAAUCUAGCCUGGAAAUGCUAUAAGUUAUUUCCCUUUAAAAACAAGUUAAAUUUUUCGGUUAAGAUUUUUAGAGUGGGAGUAGGUAAAUAGGAAAAAAGCAUAAUGUGAACGGUUUCACCUGCCUCGACACAACCUACGUAAUGAGGCAGUAAAUUUGAAUUUGGAUCAUCUUUUCUUUUUUGCACAUCUAAGAAUAAAGUCCUCAUUAAGGACUAUUAAUGCUUUUUAAAAUUCCUGGCUUAUUUAUUCAUAUUGCUGCUGUAGAAGCAAACACAUACAGGCUUCCAGAACUUCAACUACUCAUAUACAGUAAGCUUUUAAACAUGUUCAGAGUGCUUCGUCCCAUCAGAGUUUAGCCUCUUAAAUGCAGACUAUGCUAGACACUUUAAAAGUUUUAUUUAUUGCAGCCUUUUUUAAACCAUCUGGCUUUGUAUGCCAGGAUACUUUAUAGAAAUAGUAAAGUCAGAGAAAACAAAAUUCUCAGCCUUGGGCUAGUCAAAAAUUAGUUACUUGAUUGAAAAGUAUAACAAUUUAAAUUUGGAUACUUUUGUACCCACUAAAUUAUCUUUAAGGAAUGGAAACACCAUACUUCUUUCCCAUGGCUUGUCCUUCCAGAUAAUGUAUUAUUUGUCCCCAUUAAGUCCAUUCUCUCCUAGCCUGUUUUUCCCUGUGAUGUACCACCUAUGAUUAUAUAGAAGGAGAAAGAAGGCAGGUGCCAAUUAUUUGCUCAGGAGACAAAGAGAGAAAAGGCAACAAAGUGUGAUUUCCUGAUUUCUAAGAUUCACGCCACUUCAGUACAAAAUUUCAGAUUCUAUGCACCUAGUGACUCAAACGGAUAAUUAUGGCUCUAGGUACUUGGAAGGAAUGGAGUUGUCUAGGGAUGGAGUUGUCUGGAAGACUUUUGUGGAGUCUCUCACGGUACUCUGUAGAAGGGUCAAUGAGAGCAAAAGCAUGAGGAUCUUUUAUCAAGAAUAGUACAUACACAACAUUGUAACUCAACUAUACUUCAAUGAAAUUUAAAAAACAAACAAAGGUGAAAGAAUAGUGUGAAUAAUUUGUGGCCAAUGAGACUAAGUUGAGAACAGGCAAUGGAGGGCCUUGAAUGAUAGGAUAAGGAAUUCACGUUUAAUCCUAUAGCAGUUUUCCUUAGAUUUUUGAGAAGAACAAGAUCAAGAACACUCACAGACUAAGCUUAAAAUAUGUGUGUGUGUGUGUGUGUGUGCGCACGUGUGUGUGUGUAUACACAUUUAGCUAAGACCAAAAGCUUCUCAAUAAAUACAUUAUUCAUACUUUCUUUUUUUU